GACGAACGCUGGCGGCGUGCCUAAUACAUGCAAGUAGAACGCACAGUUUAUACCGUAGCUUGCUACACCAUAGACUGUGAGUUGCGAACGGGUGGGUAACGCGUAGGUAACCUGCCUGGUAGCGGGGGAUAACUAUUGGAAACGAUAGCUAAUACCGCAUAAUAUUGAUUAUUGCAUGAUAAUUGAUUGAAAGAUGCUAUUGCAUCACUACCAGAUGGACCUGCGUUGUAUUAGCUAGUAGGUGAGGUAACGGCUCACCUAGGCGACGAUACAUAGCCGACCUGAGAGGGUGAUCGGCCACACUGGGACUGAGACACGGCCCAGACUCCUACGGGAGGCAGCAGUAGGGAAUCUUCGGCAAUGGACGAAAGUCUGACCGAGCAACGCCGCGUGAGUGAAGAAGGGUUUCGGAUCGUAAAGCUCUGUUGUAAGAGAAGAACGGGUGUGAGAGUGGAAAGUUCACACUGUGACGGUAUCUUACCAGAAAGGGACGGCUAACUACGUG
This 505-nucleotide ribosomal RNA is filed under the name uncultured bacterium. RNAcentral's name for it is "partial 16S ribosomal RNA". It matches the Rfam family "Bacterial small subunit ribosomal RNA", at positions 28 to 507 of the family's 1533-position model. The record is from RNAcentral.